AUGCUGGUGUGUUUACGCCCCCGUAACUUAGCGGUUCGGCUGAAGAGACCGGUGGAAUAAGUACUAGGCUUACAAAAAAUAAGUCGAUUUGAGGUCGAUUUCUUCGACUAAAAGGCGGUACUCCAGCAUGACCCCAGCCAAAAUGACUGAAGGAAGU
Molecule: long non-coding RNA, 157 nt
Organism: Octopus sinensis (East Asian common octopus)
Lineage: Eukaryota; Metazoa; Mollusca; Cephalopoda; Octopoda; Octopodidae
Exons: 2
Source: RefSeq, a predicted model, not a curated record